Microcebus murinus (gray mouse lemur) is the source of this 13490-nucleotide non-coding RNA. NCBI's taxonomy places the organism in Eukaryota, Metazoa, Chordata, Mammalia, Primates, Cheirogaleidae. The record is from RefSeq and is a predicted model, not a curated record.
CUGGCUACAUUGAAUUAUUUAUAUUUUUAGACAUGGGGUCUUGCCAUGUUGCCCAGCUGUGUUCCUAUCUUAAGGCAUGUAUAUUCUGUCCCAAGGUGCAAAUGUUUCGUGGCCCCCAUGUAGCUGAUUGGUGGUGGGAGUUUAUCCCUGAAGAGAAUUGAGAAAAAUAUUAAUAGGACUAGUUACAGCUGCAACAUUGGCCUUAAAUAUCUGCUGUUUCUUGGGCUGAGGUGGUUGGAUAAAUGUAUCUAAUGUAAAAAAUCUUACAAGAUUAUUCAGGAAAAUAGUAGUAGGAGUAACUGUACUUUUCUAACUUUUGGCUUUAAACAUACAGUGUUUCUUGGGCUAUGGCACUAAGGUAAAAUUAUCCAGUUUGUAUAAAUCUUAUGAGGCUUGAUAAAUGGACUUAAUAAUUAUCAGAUGAUGACAAAAUUAAAUGAGUCGGUGAAUGUUAAUGUGUCUCUCCUUUCAUAUAACUAGAUGCCUUGGGACAGUUCCAAUAUGUGGCAUUUAUAUUGUAUUAUGAUGUGUUAAUAACGUGGAUCAGAGACAAGCAAAAGUCAAGGACAAAUGUAAUUUUCUGUGAAAUGUAUAUUUAAUACUUUUUAACAUUUAGCUGAAUUACUUUUGGAUGGCAAUUAAACAUUUUAUCUCCUUACUACUGUGAUUUUAUGUGUGUGUGUGUGUGUGUAUGUGUGUGGUGUCUAUAGAGUGAAUAUAUUAAUUCUCUUAAUGCAGUCUCAAAUACUAAAUACUAAAGUAUUAUAGAUUUUCUUUAAUUGUAUUGAGUUUUAUAUAUUUUAUCGAUUCUCCUCUAAUCUAAGAGAUUUGGUGUUUUUUUUUUUUUUGAUACAGACUGAACAAGGCAAAUUUUACAAUUUAUGAAGCUUAGGUUAUUAUAUUAUUUCAGAAAUGUUCCAUCUGCCCUAUGGUGGCCUUCAAGUUUGGUCAAGUAGUGAAGUAGUGCAAAGAGUACUGACAAUGUAGAGGUCCCAUGAGGGUAGACAGUGGUUUUACUUUGUUCUAAAGGGUACACACUUCCAUUUGGCUGUUUUUAUGCAGAGCACAGAAUUCAUAUGAGGGCAAGUUCAGUAGCAGCCUUUAGUCUGUAGAGGGAUACAUUGAGAAGUAUGUCACAUACCAUAAAUUACCAAUUUGAGGUUAAUGUAUGCUAUCGAGGACCCAGUGGCUCACGGUUACUGCUGUACCCUAAAAACACCUCAGGUUUAUAUGCUCAAGAUAGAGAACUUCAUAGUUAGAAAAUAGCAUUCCCCAAGGCUACAAGGAAACAUUGCUUGACAUUUUGCAACUCUAUUUGAUGUUUUUAAAACAGCAUGCUAUGUAGACACUACUCCAGGUCACGUGCAUUUUUUUUUAAUCUAUACUUAUACAUGCUAUUAAGCUUGCAGUUUUUAUCAGUAGUAAUGGUUACAUUUCUAUAAUUUGAUGCGAUGAGUUUUCCCUGCAAUAUAAAAUUAAUUUACUCUUUAGUAAAAAGGCAAGAACCAAAUGUCUUGCAGGUUACACAGUUGACUUGUGUGUUUUCAUUUUCUCAUACUGAUAACAUAACCAGGGGCCUGACCCAUGCUAGUUAAAUAACCAGAAAUUAUUUCCACAAGGUUGUCAGGCAAACCUUUGAGUUUUAAUGCAAAUUCAACAGAGAAUGGGUAGGGAAUAGCCCUUUUCCCCCUCUAGGUUGUAAAGUAGCUGGACAUAUGCAGGAUUAGAGUUAAUGAUUAAGGUCUAUUCAUAUAAAUUUAAAAGCUAAUAAUCUACAAGAUGCUUAGCACGCUACUUGACACAUUAUAAGCACUCAAUAAACUGAUAUUAUCCUUUAAGAAGCAUUUAUCUCAGAGGUUAAGAGAAUAUACUCUGGAGCAAAACUCUGAGUUUAAGUUGAGUGACUUUAGACAAGUUGCUUAAACUAUCUCUGCCUCUGUUUCCUCAUUUCCACUAUAGGCGUAGAUCAUUUAUCUCAUAGGGUGUUGUUAAAUGCAUAUCAAGCAUUUGUAACAGUGUUUUAAUAAGCAAAAAAAUGUCAUCUAAAUGUUAGUUUAUUAUUUGUGAUACAUUCUAAACCUAUUUAAGUCUUAACAUAAAUAUGCUUCUUAACAUUCAUGGAAAAUUUGUGUCUCCUGUUUUAUUUACCUUUUUUUAUAUAUAUUUGAAACUAUAAGUAGCUCUACCCAGGUGUAGGACAUAUGUUUUUCUAUCUUUUUUUUCUCCCAUGUUGGAGAAAUCUAUUUCCAAGGGGUGGUCUGGUUAUUUGCCUACAGAUCCUCCCCUGGGGACUAUGCAGCGGUGAGACUUCAAAGCUAUCUCAGUUUGCACUUAAUCAUUUGAAACAUCAAAUAACUUGCUUGUUCAUUUAAUGCAUGUUUUCUUAUUGAGGAAAUUAGUCAACCUAAAAUGAGCACCAGAAGCUUAUUUUUCUUGGUGUUGCUCUUAAAGUAGUUCUCACGCAUGUUUAUCUUGGAAGCGUAGGGGACUCUCCUGCAGCUUUUAAGGAUGAUUGAACUUGGGAAUAUUCUGUUUUACCACAAGACUCAUGUUCCCUCUGUUUAAUUUCUUAGAGCUUUCCCUCCCUUCCAUGCAAUUACCGUUUUCUUACACAGUAGGCAGACAAGAUCUGUUUUGCUUCCUCCUUGGGGGAGUGUGUUUAUUUGUUUGUCAAAUACUCUCUGAGUUCCUGCUGGUCCACUGGGCACUGUCCUGGGUGGGUUGAAGAUACAGUGAUGAGCAAGAUGGGCAAAGUCCUUGCUCUCUUGGAGCUUUCACCCGAGAAGGAGAAGACAGACAGCAACGACUAAACAAAUAAGAUAUUUUUAGAAUAUGUGGAAGGAUGAUGAAGCAAAUGAUCAGUGGAAAAAUGAGACAAAGAGGCAAGGAGAAAGGAGGCUGCUGAGAUGAAGCUUCUCUCGUUUGCCUGCCUCUGUGCUGCCCUUCCUCCCCCCAACCCCGUUUCCUAAAUUUCAUGGAAGACAAUUUUGCCAUGGAUAGGGCAGAGGGUAUGGAGCUCAGGCAGUGAUGUGCAGCCCAGUUCCUAACAGGCCAUGGGCCACUACUGGCUGGGGCCUGGGAUUUGGGGUCCCAGUUUUGAAGACUUCAAAAGUGGAGUAUGAGAUAAAGAAGAGUCUAGGAUGACUCCCAGUGUCCUGAACAAAUCUAUUGAGAUUGAGAUGGAAAAGACUGAAGCUGGAGCAGGAUGGGAUGGGUGAGAUUUGGGUAUGUGGAGUGGGAGACACCACUGUUCCACAGGCAAACUAUAAAUGGUACCUCUCCCUUCCACAAUCAGGGGUGGCAGCAUGACCUGGCAUUGGCUAGUGGUUCAUUUAGACAUGAAAUAAAAGCAGGGGAUUGAAAUGUGCUCACAGGUGGGCUCAGCCUCCUGUAAUUCUGUCAUCAGCAUGAGAAGAGCUUCCCCUGGGUGGCUGUUGCCCUCUUAGCCUGGUCCCCAAGUUGCAUGCAAGUGAUGUAGAGCUACCCCAGCUAAGCACAACUAAUUCCUCAGUUUGAAGCAGAGCUGACCAUGGAGCCCACCUGAGAUCAUCAGACACUCCCUGGCCUACAGAUGCAUGAGAAUUAACAGCUACUCUUAUAAAUCAUUGAGUUUUGGGGUGGUCAGUUAUGUAAAAGUUUUGUGGCAAUAACUUAAUAAUGGAGAAUCUAGGUAGUGAAGUGAAAUAGGGAGUUGGAUUUAAGAGAUUUGAUUUCAGAAGAAGUCUGGGAUGGAGAUAGAAAUUUAGGCAUUAUUGGCAAACUGAUGGUAUUUGGAACCUCAAGGUGGAAUGAGUUCAGCAUAGGAGUGAGUGUGGCAGAGAAGGGGACCAAGGAUUGCAUCACUUCCUCCUUACAAUGUCUUGAAGAAGAGGAGCAACCAGUGAGGUGGAAGGAAAAUAGAUUGCCCUGAAAACUGAGUGGACAAAAGCAAUAUUGAGGAGGAGGAAGUGAUUCAUGGUGUCAAAGGAAACUACUGAGAAUUGGUUGUUGGAUUUGAUAACCUGGGAGUGGGGGGUCACUGUUGACCUUGAUAAAUAGAGUUUUAUGGAAGUGUUGGAGAUGAAAGCCUGAUUACAAUGAGUUUAAACAUGACUAUAACCAGAGAAUGAUUGGGGAUAAGGAGCAAAGUGACUUUUUGAGGAGUUUUCUGGGAAGGAGACAGAAAUGAGAUGGAAUAGUGACCCCAUCACAGAAGGAGUAGUAACUCAUGGUAAAGGUGUUGUGCUUUAUUCUGAGCAGGGUGGGAGGUAGUUGAAGUGUUUAAAUAGUAAUCUAUUUGCAUCCGGCUAUGGCUGCUGGAUAGAGAAGCGUCUGGAGUGAAAGUGAGCUGAACAGUUACGAGGCUAUUUCUGUUUCCUAGGUGAGAGAUUAUGUUGGCUUCAGCCUGAGACUUAGCACUGGCAAUGUGGAAAGUCAUGCAUAUAUUUUGCAAAGUGGUAUUAGAAAGAAAGCAUGGUAGGAUCUUUAGCUUAAAGUGCUUAAAAAGUUUUUGUGGUCAAAUGAAAAUCACAAAUGUACAUGAGAUUUAUUUAUUUAUUUUUUUAUAAAUCCUCUCUACCUGUAUCUUAUCUUAUGUAAAUAAUAACUGCUUGAAGCAAUAUGAUGCUGUACUGGUUAACUUUUAUUAAAAUUUAUAUCCUACCACUUUUUGAAGUAAUUUUAGUUGUCUGUAAAAAAAAUGGAUAUGAUCAUUUUUCUCUCCUUCAAAUUCCAUUCUGUUCCAUUCUGAACCAUCCCAGCUAUACUGCCCUGUUUUGCUCAAGUGACAUUAGAGACUAUUUCUGGUAUAAUGUCCUUGUCUGAGUCUGUGGGCAAAAUAACUUUUUAAGUGGAAAAAGUUCUAUGAUCUUUGUUUGGGAUGGGUAUUAACAACAACAAAACAGACUCUUCUUUCCUUAGAUCUUGGAUUCAUAUGUACUAGAGAGUUGUUUCUACAAAGAUGGUGAAUAAAGUAUUUUUCCAAGUGUGCUUUCAGUAGAGACUUGAAUGAUUGUCUGUGAUCUGUUUUGCUCUUAUUCCACGUCCAGAGGUUCCCAUGGGAACCACCCCCAAUUCGUGGGAAGAGUCAAAUUUAACAAACAAUACAGAAAAGCCAUUUAAUCAUCUUCUGUGUGAUCCAUGAAAGAGCCAGAAAUAUGGAGGAAAUGAAAUCACUAGAAUCUCUUUCCAUCUUAUAUGGGACUACCCCCAAACAAAGUCCUGCUCACGGUAAAUAGAUUUGAUGGCAAAAAAAAAACCCUCCAAAAGUCCCAAAUCUGAUAAUAACAAAAAAACCUCUCCUAUCAUCUGUCUCCUUCUCUGUUCAUAUACCUUUUCAAAAUGUGUUAAAUGUUUUUGUGCCUUACACUUUGGCAUCUUGCCAGUCAUUUUCAUUUAACUGUUUUUCCCUUGAAAGAUUUGUUUUCAGAAAAAAAGCUUAGGAUUGUAAUACAGAAAGCCUUCCACAUAAUCUUCUCAUUAUGUUCAGAAAGCUAAUUUUAAACCUGAAUCUCCCAUCUCUCUCUCUCCAUUCCAGUGCUCACCUGCCUGUGUUAAUUAAUUCCUACGCAGCAAUGAAGAUUGGAUUCAGAUACCUGAUCCGUUAGCUAUUGAUUGCAGGGGCUGUGUGUCUUCUAUGGGGAAAUGGGGGCACCUGGUGCCACCAGGACGUAUGAACAGAUUAUCAGUACUGGGGGGGGUGGCUUUGGUGACAGCAGAGACAUAGACCUCCAUCAGGAGCAGGUACUCAGAAAACCAGGGAUAAGAACAGAGGGCACCUACACAAUCUCAUAUUAUGGGAUGCAGCCCUUUUUCCUUUCCCUGAAUGGAUCGAAAACUAUUUUUAAAUGAAUUUGCUUCAGCUAGAUUAUUAGAGAGCACUGAGUCCUACAGGUGGUGAGCUGGAACGGGUCUUGGCGACCACGUAGUCUAAGCUUCGUGUGAUCUGGACCUCCAGGUUGACCUUCUCACUCUCCCCUUGCUCUCUACGGUGAACCCACACUGCCUUUAUUCGGGUCCUCAAUCACAGCUAGCUCUUGUCUGCCCCGAAGUCUUUGUGCGUGUGGUUUAUUCUGGCCGAGAUGCCUCUAGAUGAUUCUUGUUCAUUCCCAAGAUCUUAGAUUGUUUGUUAUUUCCUCAGAAAGCAGGUUCUUGGCCCUCUAAUCUACAGUCGGUUUCCCUGUGCUGUGUUGUCACAGCACCUUUACUUUUCCGUCAGAACAUUUCACAUAGUGCAUAGGUAUGUUUCGUAGAUGAGGUCCUACCAAGACGGUGCCUUGCUUGGGUUGCUUUUUCUCUUCCCCAGUAAAAGAGAUUUUAGAAUCUCCUCCCUUAGAAGCAUAUAGGUGAUGUUUCCCCUAUAGGGGAAGGCCGGUGGCACCACUGCCUUAGAAGGGGUAUAGUUAGGCUGGAAAGCACAAACGCCUGGUAUCUUUGAGGGGAAAGAGAUGACAUUUUUGACAGAUGGUAAAUAUCUGAGCCAUUCCUGCCCAGGUGGGUCCAUGCCAGCUGGAGACUUAGGAGGUGGCUGUUUGUGGGAUCGAAAAACUGAGGCAUGAGAACCUUGGGAGCCCAAGUGCCAGGCAUCUUCGAUGGGCAUAGCAGUCAGGAGGUGAAGCUGCCCUCCGUGGGCCACGCGGGGCCUUUGCAGGAACCUGCAUGGCAGCAGAGCCCAGCAAAGCAAUGGCCCGGCUUCCCCAAAGCACGCUUACGCAGCACCUCUGUGUGGACGCAGUAAGCAAUGGCAGCGGUCAGAUUCCUCUCUAAUGCUCCCUGGUGUGAUGUCCUAGGAGGACCUCCUGUCGGUUAAGCACAUGGGACAUCAAAAAAUAAAUUGGAAGAAUAAGAAAUGCAAGUAUAAAUGAAUGCCUCUCCUGAUUUGGAGAGGCGUUUGUCUCCAUCGGUCUGUAAUAUUCAUUGUAGACCCUGCGCACGUGUUUUAGAGAUGGAGGUGGAGAGAAGUCAAGUCACUCAUCACAGAAUCAUAGCAUUCACUGGUGGAAGAAUUAUAAUAAGAAUAUGUGAAUCUUCUGGCCCCAGUUUUGGUAGUUCUGUGGUCGAAAGGUAGCAUGAAGAAAGCUGGGAAAAUGUCUAAGAUAUAUAUUGAGAGGGCAGGGGCCAUUCCCUCUUUACGAAAUUACUGAAAAUUAUAGGUUGCCAGGGAUAUUUUAGAAAAGAGAAGUUUGAACCUACAGGUGCUUAUGUUAUGCCUGUCAGCCAUUUUGGGGGGGCAUCCAUAUUUUCAUCUGCAUGUUUGUCCUCUUUGUUCCAGUUUUCCUAAUGACCAUCCUCCUUUUCCUUUUGCCUGCCUUGUUGAGGCAGAUCUCUUUCAUCAUGUUAUCAGAGAGAUCCCACUCUGAGACGUGUCUGUCAUUGAGUCAGCUGCUUCCUGGCUAAAGAAAGAGAAGUUCUGGUUCCAGAUCUGAAAUUACCGUUUUACACGUUUAAAAAUGGAAAGAUAUACUUUUGAAGAGUGAAAUAAGUAAAGUAAGUGCAUUAUUAAUAUAACAAAAUAGAUUCCAUAAGAGCUGGUGGGGCAAUAAAAGUGAGAAUGGGGUGAGAGUAAUGAUUGAUGGCUUCUUGGAGAAGGAAAGUUUUAAAGAUAUGAGAUAUAAAGAUAGGAGGAGAAGAUGUACACUCCAGGAAGAAAUGAGACUUGUGGGGAAGAUCAGGGUACAUGUGUUCAUUGGGGUAGUGAGAAGAGAGUUGAUAAGACUUUUGAUGGGAUCCCUCAGAAAUAGCUAAGGAAAAGAUGGCUUAGGGAAGGAGUUCCUUGAAUCAGUGGAAUGUUAGGCUGCUAAAGGAAAGUAAAAAUUUAAAAAAAAAAAAAAGAAGAAAAAUCUCUGAAAUAAUUUCUGGGUUCAAAACCCGGAUUUAUUGUUAAAUCCAGGGUGACUUUGGAUAAGCUAUUUAAGAUCUGAGUCUGUUUCCUCAUCUAUGAAAAUUGGUUUCUGUGAGGAUCAAGUGCAAUAUCCUGUCAUAUGCUCUGGACAGUAUAUUCUGGCUUAGAGGAGGUGUCCAAUAAAUGCUAGUUUUAAACCUUAAAAUAUAACUCACUUAAAAUUGUCAUUACUGGCGCAGGUAUGGUUCUGAAAUAACGUUUUUGGUUUAUCUUGACUUGUUUAGUUCCUGACUUUUAUAGACUUUUUUCUUUGGAUUUUCUCAGAAUUUAAUAGUCUUUCUUAAGUAGGUGUAGAAUAAAUCAUUGUUUUCCUUCAAGAAACAUGGAUGAAUAGGCACACACUUGCAUCAGAUCAUUCUUAGAAAUCUAUCAAAAUGAAUGAAAAGAACCCCCAAAUAGGAAAGAUGAUUUCAUUUAUACUAAAAUUAGAGUGGAGCCUCAACCUCAAAUGCUACAUUACAAAGACUGGUUUGUAGAUUACAUUUAGUAGAAGUUUCCAGGAUUUCAUGCACAUGUUCUUUUAAUCUUAUAUCUGCUGCGUAUAUGGGAAAUGAAAAAAAAAAAAAGUUUGAAGGGCUUUCAAUAACCCUGGAAAAUAGGACAGGAUGGCAAAGUUACACAUCAAAUUUCAUGUUCCAGAAAAUGCACCUUAUAACAAAAAGACUUAAAAAGGAGGGAUUGUUUUUCCCAAAAACAUUAAUUUAAGAAGUUUAGAUAUGUUUCCAUAAGUCUACCGUCCUUCAUUAUUUGUCCAUUAAUAUUUCAGUACAAACAUACUCAGUGUUUCCUAAACACAUUCCAUUAAUAAUUAAGAAAUGAAAGCUUAUAUUUAAUGAUUUCUUACCAUAUACACGUGGUUGUGGUCACAACAACGCUAAAAGAAUUGUGGAGCACACACUCAGCUGUUGCACUAAAGACUGUCAUCCUGCCUGCUUGCCUGUUACAUGAACAUGAUUGGGCAGACUAUCCUCAUAUUCUUUCCUGUUCUGCAUCUGAAAAUAACCUAGGCCGAACGGACGGAAUCCUCCCUGAUUUGGGGAAUUGAAUGUGUCCCCAUCAGCAGGGAUCACAAACAGCAGCAGGUAACUUACACGAGAGAAUCAGACUAGUUAUUGAAUAUAUAUACAGCUACCGUGGAGCCUGCAGAGACAUGUGGCAAACAUGCAGCAUGCGCUGGUGGUCAGCAUCAGCCCAUUCUUGCCAUUUGGGAAAGUGAGCCCAUUGUUUCUAGAGCUUUGAUUUCCCAAGCGAAGCAUGGAAUCUGUUGGCUUUUUUGUUGUUGUUGUUGUUCAUCUCUUUUUUUCUGGAAAGAUGAAACCUCCAGCUUUAAAAGUGUUGGCAACUAAUUCAAGAUUCUUUUUAAAGCAUAGUCAAUGUAGGCAGCACUAGUAAGCUAGGACAGGACAUAACUGUGAGCCACAGGCCCACAGGCUUUUGGUUGACAAUCUCUGAGCCAUAACGUAUACAGUUGGAAUCCUGAGAGGCAGAGAGUGGAGUAAGGAUGAAGUCUCAGAUCAAAGUCAGAACUCUUGGCAUCAAACCUGUAACCUUUUUCCUGGAGCGCUUUGACUGUCUUAACACAAGACAAGGUCUGAUCUGGGAGACCAUUGUUUAAAAUUGAUAGUCCACAUUAUGCUUUUGACCAGAAUCUCUCCACUACUGAGAAUUUUGAUCCUCGGUAUGAACACACUGCUCUCAAGAAGUUGAUAGGGUUUUUUUGUUUGUUUGUUUGUUUGUUUUGUUUUUGCAUUUUUAAAAGAAAAUAAUAAUUCUCAACAUAUCCCCAAAGCUUGCGACAUCUAUGCCUCUAACUGUUCCUUAGGAACUUUCUUAAUAUUAUGAGAAUUAAGUUUCGAAACAGAAUACAGAAUAGUUAAGCAUAAAUGGUCUCAUCUCGUCCUGACCUAUCUCAGGCUCUUUUUCAGUCUUUUCACAUGAUGAUAUAAGCCAGUUCUAUCUGAGCUUUGGGGAAAGCAUUGCAGGGGUCUCAGAGCACUGGGAAAGGAUACAUAAGGCAUCAGAAGGUUGGCUUUGACAUGGCCUCCAUGAAAGGUAUACCGUUUUCCUGCCCUGUUGCUUUCAUAUUAAAAGGAAUUUCUAUCUGUCAAGCAUUUCUCCUUCACUGCUUUCCCUGAGAACUAUUGCAGCAUUGUAUUAUGUGACACGGGCCAUUUUUUUUAACAUAUGAUUUGUAGACUAUGAGAUUUGUAAGCAGCUAUUAACAAUACCCUAUUUUAUUUUUAAAGCUAUGUUUGAAUGGAUUCUGUUUGUUCCACUAUGAUCUUUUUUUUUUUUGUCUGAAUAAUAAUGUCAGUUUGACAUAGGCUGAAUUUUUUUUUUUUUUUUAACAUUUAGUUUAAUCCUUUGACAAACCUUGCCCUCAUUUGUGUUUGACCUUGGACCACUUGCCUUGGCUGGUUAUUUAAUUUGAAAAUUAGAAAAUGGCUAUUUCAUUUUUCUUGUUAUUAAACUCAAGAGCUCACCCAGGUUCUUCUUUUCCUUUGCCGUGUGUUUCCCCUCCAUCUUCCUAAUUUCUUAUGUAUGUAUUAAUAAAAUUGCUUCAGAGAUAAUAGUCUAGUCAAACGCAUAGCUACCUAAUUUGUUUAUGGAAAAGCUAAAGUAGGGUUGGAAGGACAUAUUACUAAAUUGUAAUUUUAAAUUUUUUAUCUUUGAAUGUCAGCCUCACUGUGUUCCUUCUUUGAAUCUAUAAAUAUGCAUUUUAUUGAAUGUUAGAGGUGGAAGGCAGUUUGGCGGUCACUUGGACUAUAACCAUUCUUUUACUGAAAGGGCAAUUGUGAACUAUGUAGGAGAUGCUUCUUGGCCAAGGUCAUAUAUAUGCUGGUGGCAAAAUCAGGAGAUAGUAUUGUAUAGUAGUUAGAGCUUAAGAUCAAACAAAUCUUCAAAACUGACUUUGUGUCCUGGAUGGACAUCUCAUAAUUAUGUUGCGGCGACUUCAGACAACCCAGAUAACUUCUCUGUGUCCCAGUUUCAACAGUUUUAAAAUGAAGGUUAUAAUACUGCUCACUAUUUGUGAUGAGGAAUAAAUGAUAGAUUCCAUAUCAACUGCAUGACACAGCUUCUAACACCUGGUAAGUUCUCAGUAAGUUCACUGUUAUUGCUGUAUCUCUCAUACUCAUCACCCUAAUCACCUGCCAAUGUUUAUUUUAUCACACAGCUCUGACAAUGUUUUCAAACUAUGUGAAGGAUUUCUUAAGUUCUGUCAUACUUCCGCAGCAAGGACUUGGUAUCUGUUGUCAUUUUUGUCCUUUGUUGAGGGUGUCUUAGGUGGUUCAGCAAAAGUAUAUGGGUGUGUUUUGUUAGGUUCACAACUCCUUGCUUUUCAUUCUUCGCAUUUGGUUCACAAAUUCAGUCAGUAUCGUAUUGAGCAAGCACCUUCCUUCUGUGUGUAAGGCUCUUCGCUAGAUCCCGACGAUACAGGGUAAACAAGAAGACAUAAUCCCUCUCUUCCUGGAGCUUAUGUUCUGUGGUGGGAGAAUGGAAGCUAAAGAAUUAACCAUGCUUUUGUUUCUUUAUGAUUUGCUCAGUGGUUAAAAUGAGUCCCGAGGGCUAUGAGUGAGUGAAAAAGGGGUAUCAAUCACAGAGCCCUGUAGAACAAAUAGGUCUAAGUUAGGGGGCAGUGCAGGAAGCCUUUCAUUUGGAAGGGAUAGUGUCUGAAGAGGUGCAAGAAGGGGAAAGCAUUGAAAUUCUAGGAGUGGGUCGAAAGCCAUUGUUGCUGAAGUAAAUGGAUGCUGGAGGAUGAGGAUGGAGAGGAAGAGGAGGCUAGAUCAUGGAUUUUUAGGCCAUGUUAACUUUUCGGGGCUCUAUUAUGAGAAAAUCGAAGGUUACUGAAAAGUGAUAAGCGGAAAAAAUGUCACAGCCAGAUCUUUUUAAAAGAUCGUUUUAGUACUUCAUGAAGAAUGGGUGGAGGAAAGAAGAACAGAGGCAGAGAAAUCUGUUCAGGGCAGAGGGUGGCCUGUACUAGGAUGUAGGCAGUGGAAUUGGAGAGAGAUCUGAGAGUUGCACCCUCUUGGAUCUCAUGCAGUGCAUGAGCCUGGGGUAUGACAGGGUGCAUCGACAGAGGCAGAGAGAAGGGUCAAGAGUGACUCUGCUUAUAACUUGAGCCCCAGAUGUCAUUAAUAUUGGAGCAAGAUGGAUCCAUGAUUAGAAUUUUUUCAGAUGGAAUCAAAGCACAAAGGAGUUCUACAUUCUGGUAGAAGACUGAUAGAAGUGAGAAGUGAAAAGAGGACUCUAUUUGCAGUACACAAACCCCUUAGGAACUCGGCUGCACAGCAGAAGGUGAGUGACAGGUGAGCAAGCAAAGCUUCAUCUGUAUUUACACCUGCUCCCCAUUGCUCACCGUUGCCACCACCCUGCCUCAGGUUUGUAUGAAAAUUGUCUUCCAUGAAACUGGUCCCUGGUGCCAAAAAGGUUGGGGACCACUGCUCUAAGUCAUGAUUAAGACAGAAGACACACAAAUAUGUUAAGCAGUAAAAGAAUCAAAUGCCAAGAAUCAGUAUAGUUAAGGUGUGAUUUGUGAGGUUUGUGUAUGUUAAUCAGAGUCAAGGAAUUCCUGUUUCUUGCUGUUUUGAUAGGCAUGCAUCACAUUUAAUCAGAUGAACUACUGAGUUCAACUAAAUUAAUUAAUCACUUUGUAGUAGAGACUGGGAUAGUUUGUUUCAGUUCUUGGAUGUAAAUUGAUUGGUUGGAAUGUUUUUAUCCUGAAAUUAAGCUAAUCUACUGACAUUUGUAUACCAGAUACUGGUCUUGCAUCUUGUAAAAAUGUAUCAAUUACAAACAUUUUUUAAAAUUUUUAUUCUUUAAUGAGGAUGUGAGCUUCAGACUAAAUCUUGUGUAUCUAUGAAUGACAAUAAAAUACUAAAUAAAAAUGAAUUAUAAUAAAAUAAAAUACUAAAUAAAAAACUAAAUAAUUUAACAUAUUUAGUUUUCCUAUAUGCAUCAUAUUUAUUUCAGCACAUUAUGAUUUCAGCUUGAUUUGUGUUUGAAUUACUCAUUGUUUAUCAACAUGAGAUAUCCAUCUGUUUGAGAGUUAAGUAUUUUAUGUUCAGAGUUUUGCUCAUUGUACUGAAAAAAUACUCCUUUUGAAUAUUCAUGUAUUGGAUACAUGUAUACAUGCUUGAAUUAAAAAAUAAAAGAAUCCUGUCAAUGUAAAGAAUUUUGGGGGUAAGGCUGACAAUUUAAGCAGGUUUUGUCUUGGACCUUUAUUUCUUUUCCAACCUCCCAUCAAAUAAUUAAGAAGGAAAACAACGUGCCACAACUGAAAGAUCCAUGAGGGUCCCCAUCUAUCUGCCUGAAAUCUUGAGGGGUGUCUAAGGCUACCACUCAUGCAGAGAGAUGUUAGUGAGCUGUUCUGACCUGCUAUUGACUCAAUAGCAUUUGUCAAACGUAGGGAAUGGAGAAAGAUGCUCUUGCUAUUCUGCUGGUCAUGUGGCCUGUCAAAGCCCACAACCACAAAUGUUUAGAGAGAAUUUAAAGCUGAAUAUAAGAGAUAACUGUAAUGAUGUACUGAUAGAAGUGUUCUGUCAGACUCAAGAGGAUAUUGCAUUUACCAAACAAAAGCAACCACAAAAAAGAGGAAAACUAAAAAUUAAAG